Molecule: ribosomal RNA, 204 nt
Filed under: uncultured bacterium
Lineage: Bacteria
Description: partial 16S ribosomal RNA
Rfam family: Bacterial small subunit ribosomal RNA
Source: RNAcentral
CACGUAGGCGGUGAAUCGGGUUGAAAGUGAAAGUCGCCAAAAAGUGGCGGAAUGCUCUCGAAACCAAUUCACUUGAGUGAGACAGAGGAGAGUGGAAUUUCGUGUGUAGGGGUGAAAUCCGUAGAUCUACGAAGGAACGCCAAAAGCGAAGGCAGCUCUCUGGGUCCCUACCGCGCUGGGGUGCGAAAGCAUGGGGAGCGAACA